GACGAACGCUGGCGGCGCGCCUAACACAUGCAAGUCGAACGGAGUCAAGAGGAGCUUGCUUUUCUUGACUUAGUGGCGAACGGGUGAGUAACGCGUGAGUAACCUGCCCUGGAGUGGGGGACAACAGUUGGAAACGACUGCUAAUACCGCAUAAGCCCACGGAUCCGCAUGGAUCUGCGGGAAAAGGAUUUAUUCGCUUCAGGAUGGACUCGCGUCCAAUUAGCUAGUUGGUGAGGUAACGGCCCACCAAGGCGACGAUUGGUAGCCGGACUGAGAGGUUGAGCGGCCACAUUGGGACUGAGACACGGCCCAGACUCCUACGGGAGGCAGCAGUGGGGGAUAUUGCACAAUGGGGGAAACCCUGAUGCAGCGACGCCGCGUGGAGGAAGAAGGUUUUCGGAUUGUAAACUCCUGUCGUUAGGGACGAUAAUGACGGUACCUAACAAGGAAGCACCGGCUAACUACGUG
This 468-nucleotide ribosomal RNA is filed under the name uncultured bacterium. Its description in RNAcentral is "partial 16S ribosomal RNA". It matches the Rfam family "Bacterial small subunit ribosomal RNA", at positions 28 to 507 of the family's 1533-position model. The record is from RNAcentral.